RNAcentral lists this ribosomal RNA (303 nucleotides) under uncultured bacterium. RNAcentral's name for it is "partial 16S ribosomal RNA". It matches the Rfam family "Bacterial small subunit ribosomal RNA", at positions 507 to 807 of the family's 1533-position model. The record is from RNAcentral.
AGCAGUCGCCGCGGUAAUACGGAGGGGGCUAGCGUUGUUCGGAAUUACUGGGCGUAAAGCGCACGUAGGCGGCUUGGUAAGUUAGAGGUGAAAGCCCGGAGCUCAACUCCGGAAUUGCCUUUAAGACUGCCGAGCUAGUAGGUGAGAGAGGUAAGUGGAAUUCCGAGUGUAGAGGUGAAAUUCGUAGAUAUUCGGAAGAACACCAGUGGCGAAGGCGGCUUACUGGCUCAUUCUAGACGCUGAGGUGCGAAAGCGUGGGGAGCAAACAGGAUUAGAUACCCCCGUAGUCCCUGUCUCUUAUAC